UUUUCUCAUGGCUAUCCAAAUAUAUACAACACCAAAGUACUUGACUAAUAACAAAAGGGUAGUCCUAUACAUGCCAUUAGCAGAGUUCAACUAAAAGAGUACCAAAAGGGCUUUGAUAGUGUGGGCAACUUCGACUUUGACACUCCCGAGUCCGAUAGCUGACGAACCAAAAACUAUAAAACAGAGAAUUAAAGAAACGGAAUAAGCAUUUAAUGCUUAGUAAGUUUGAGUAAUGAAAUCAUGCACAACUGAUGUAUAGCAUUCAUAUGACUAAACGAAUAAUCUCAUAUACACAUAUUCUCACAAUCAUACCUAUUUCACAUUUCCAACCCUUAUAUCCAUACAUAAGGAAUCAACUUGACUAAAGGCCGGAAGCUUGUUAAUCGAUUGAGAGAAUACUAUUUAAAAGGAAUCAAUUAUCCCAAUGCAUAUACAAAACAUACCUUCUCGUUGGGGUUUUACGAGCGUAUUAAUUGAAAUUAUUAUAGCAAGAUUGCUCAUUCCCAAACCAAGUACCUUCGGAAUUUAGCCGGAUAUAGCUACUUGCUCAAUUGCCUUCGGGACUUAGCCCGGUUAUAGUAACUCGCACAAAUGCCUUCGGGACUUAGCCCGGAUAUAGUAACUCGUACAAAUGCCUUCUGGACUUAGCCCGGAUAUAGUAACUCACACAAAUGCCUUCGGGACUUAGCCCGGAAUUAGUCACUAGCACAAACGCCUUCGGGACUUAGCCCGAUUAUCAUCCGAAUAUUCAUGCACAUAUCCAUAAAUCAUGACACAUCUAUAUUUCAUUUUCAUAAUUAGAAUUCAAACACAAGUCACUUAUCAAGCAUUACCAUCUUCGGCUCAAUAGCCACAUACAAGAGCAUGAUUGUGAUUUGUUUAUAACAUGAUCUAAUCGAAUCAUAAUCUAAGUUCCAUUAUUCGAAAACUUACCUCGGAUGCUGUUGAACGAUUUCAACGGCUACUCGAUCACAUUUUCCUUUCCUUUAUCGGAUUUAGUUCCCCUUUGCUCUUGAGCUUAAUGUUAACAAAUAAGUUGAUUUAAUCAUUUUGAACAUCAAAGAGGAAUUCAAGGUACUUAGUCCAUUUAUAUACAUUAGACGUUAGAGUCAUAUAUAUGAAGUCAUGAACCAAAUUCAACAUAUUGGCUAAUAUUCUCCUUUAGCCGAUUAUCUAAGUCAAGAUAGAAUCAUCGUUAUGCCUGCCUAUAACCGAAUACAUGCAACACCAAUCUAUCUAUUUAUUCAUGUGUGCAUCUUAUUUAAGCAUGUAUGUCCACAAUCAAAUUCAUCAUAUAAAUAUCUAUGAUUUCACUCAAACAAUCUCAAUACAACACAUGGUGCUCAAACCAUUUUUUUCAAAUUCAAAGCUCGGCUAGUACACAUAUAUACACUAGCAAUCAAAUACUAACAUUUGUACUUCAUCUUAAUAGCUAGCUUAGCAAACCUUAAUUUAACACAUAAUUCAUACAUAUCACAUUUCAAGCAUUCACUCAAUUCUAUCACUUAAAACACACACAUUACUCAAUAACUUCCUAGUUUAAAUUCGGCAACUACACCAAUUCACUAGAUGAUUUGUUAUUAUUAUUGUUCAUUUAUUCAAACUACUUACAAUUUCCUUAAACUAUCACAAUUAACAACCAUCUAUCACUUCCAUUUUCUACCAUGGCCGAAUGUUAUAACCCAAGCCACACAUAUUGUUCCUCAAGGCCCUUCAAUGACCACAUUCGGCACCUCCUUAAGAACAACCCAAAUUUCAACCUUCAAGAAAGAAGAAAAAUAUAUGUACUAAGAAACUACUUGGCCGAAUAUCAAACCUCCUAACAAUCAAAACUUAAGCCAUGGAAUGAUUAGAACUUGAACUAACCACCUUCUUUAUACAUAAUUUUCCAAGAAUUUCAAGGUACUUACCUCUUUCUAAAACAUUCAUCCAAACCGAACAUAAAGCAAGAGAACUCCUUUCUUCUUCCUUUGAUUUUUCGGUCAAGAAGAACAAAGAGGAUGAAGCCUUUUUUUUCUUUUUCUUCUUCUAGGUAUGGCAAAAUGGGGGAGCAAGGAUGAAACAACUUUUGUUUCUCCUCCCACUCCCCUCAUAUUUUAUUGUUCUUCCCACAACAUGUUAUCACAAAUUGUUUAUAAUGUGUUUUACCCAUCACAUUUUGUCUAUCCUCAAUGUCAUGGCCGGCCACUACUAGUUAAGUGGGGAAAUUGACAUGCAAGUCCACCCUUUUGAUUACAUGCACUAGUAAAUCCUUAUAGAUUAACCUAUCACAUUUCAAAAGUGUCACACAUAAGUCCUAUUAACUAAAUUCACAUGCAAUUAACUAAAUCGAAGCUUAAAACUUUCACACAUUCAUAUUCACAUAUUUUAGACAAUAAUUAUCAUAUUCAAAUAAUUUGGUGACUCGGUUUAGCGGUCCCGAAACCGCUUUCUGACUAGGGUCACUUUAGGGCUGUCACACCACUAGCACGUUAUCAGUAAUAAAUAGACCUGAGACAAAGGCACUCUGUGCUUUAUCAAUACACCCAUCUAAAACAUUUUGAAAUCUAUUGGCUACCACAUUUGCUAUUUUUUAUAAAGGAUAUUGCAAAGACUGAUUAGUCUAAAAUUUUUCAUAUCUGUAGGUUGUGAGGUUUUAGGAAUCAACACUAUAUUUAUGACAUUAAUGCUAUCAAUUUCCUUUCCCUGAUUUAAAAUUUCUAGACAAAAAGAAGUUACCUCACUGCUAACAAUAUCCCAGCAUUUUUGAAAGAAAAUUGCAGGGAAUCCAUCAUCACCAAGAGCCUUUGUAGGGCCCAUUAACUUCAGCGCCGUCCGUAAUUCUUCGGUAGUGUAGUUUUCCGUGAGCUGUGCAUUAUUUCCUUCAUCAAUACUUCUUUCCACUCAUUCCAAAAUCAAUUCAGGAUCAUUAAUGCCUCUUGACAUAAACAGGUCCUGAAAAUAAUUCUUUACAAUCGUUGCCAUCCUUCCUUUUUCAUUCACGUAUUCCCCAAUAUUAUUCUGUAAGCUAUUGUUGACAUUAGCUUUAUUUCGCUGAGUGGCCUACCUAUGAAAAAAUGUUGUGUUUCUAUCUCCCGAUUUUAGGCAGUUUGUACGUGCUCUUUGUUCCCAAUAGGUUUCAUCUUUAUCAAUUUCCAAAUUAAGAUGUAUUUUUGUAUCAAUAAUUUCAGCUAGGUUCUCAUUGUUUCUAUCCUCCUCCAAUAAUCUGUUCAGUUUCCUUUGUAGAUUCUGCUUGAUCCCUUUUCUGUCUUUCUUUAUUUGUAGUGCCCAUUGACUAAUUAUUAGCUUUAGACCAUCCAGCUUAUCCAGUAGCGUCCCUGAUGAACUUUCCAAAAAAUCCAAAACCAUCUUCUCGAAGGUGCUUUCAAGUAACCACCAUGCUUCAAAACAAAACAUAGUCCUUUGCAAUUUCUUCUUUGCAAUUUCUUCUUUUCAGUAGACAAAAGAAGAGGAUAAUGACCAAAGUGUGAAUAAGAAACAUGUUGAAUUCGUGCAUGUGGAAAAGCCGAGAACCAAGCUUCAUUCACGAUCCCUCUGUCGAGCCUUUCCUGUAUAUUUAUUUCAGCUAAAUUACCCCUUUCCCAUGUGUACCAUAAACCAGAGAAGCCUAUGUCCAUUAAUUGGUACUCUUCAAGAGCAUUGUGAAAGGCUUCCAUUCUCUUUUCCUCUCUUGGAGCCCCUCCUCUCUUCUCAAAUGCAUAAAGAAUUUCAUUAAAAUCCCCACAGACGAUCCAGGGAUGAGAUCUGAUCCUUCUUAAUCUUUUUAACAAGUUCCAAGUGUUGCACCUCUCAUUCAAAAAGGGGUUGCCAUAGAAGCCUGUAAAAUUCCAUUCUACGCCAUCCUACUUUUCUUUAAUCAGGCUAUCAGUGUGAGUUUUUGAGCUGCUAAUUAUUGUUACCUUUAUGUCCUGUUUCCAUGCCAAUGAUAAGUCACCUUUCGAACCUUCUGCUUGCACAUCGAAACCAUACAUAUACCCAUAUCUCCUUCUAAUCUUUUUCAUUCUCGUAGCAUUCACUUUUGUCUCCAUAAUGAAGACCAAUUGGGGAUUGUAUUGCUUCAGUAAAAAUCAAAAUUGUUUAAUUGCUCGAGGACUCCCCAAUCCUCAAACAUUCCAGCUUAUUAUUUUCAUUGGCUCCAGUCGGCUUGCCUAUUGGCAGCUGCUGAUCCAACAAAUGGAGGUACCAUCAUUUUUUCUCCUAUUUCCUCUAGGAUAGAAGAAUUAUUCUCAUUAAAAUUCAUUCUAAGCUUUUUGUGGGUUUUAGCAUCAUCGUUCAAAUUUCCACGUAUUUCCACCUCAGAUGUAGAGCUUUUCCUCUUGCAACUAGUAGAUUCCAUUUGAACAUAUUCAAUUUUCCUUAUUCUUCCUUUGCGCGUCCAUCUCGAUUUUUUGUGGUUUCCUAGGAAGCCCAUCUCAGCUGUAUUGACAUUUAUACCAUUAUUUACUAUAUCCUCCCCGCCUAUAAAUUCUGUAAAACUAGAGGUAGUAUCAGUGCCUCUAGCUUCUACUCCUUGUUUCGUAUUUAUCGCCUUUACCUCUUCACAAAUCUUCUCAGUGGUUAAUUCUGCAUGUAUCUUAUUCCCCAGCUUCACCUUUGCACUUGUGUCAUAAACUUCUUUUAAUAUAUCCAGAGAAGAAGUCCUUUCGUCGUCCUCCCCUGUAUAUAUACAUUGCUCCGUGGAUUUCUUCUCUAUCGUGCCCAGUUGUAAACUCUCUCUUCUCAUUAAUUUUGACUCGGCUUUCAGUGCUAUUGAGUAGGGUAGAUCUCCGUCUCCUAAAAAUUUCCCCUGUUUAAUCGUAUCAGUACAGUCUUUUACUAUAUGGCUCAUUAUUCCACAGCCAAAACAAAAAUUUGGUAGGGAUUCGUAUUUAAAAGAAAGUCAAACUCUUCUUGUAGCCCCUACAACAAUAAAAAUACCUCUUCGAAAGGGUUUUCUAGCAUCCAAUAGAAUUUGUAUUCUGCAUAUUUCUCCCUUUAUAUCCGAAUGUAAAAUACCUCCAAAAGCUGAUCCUAUCGCAUGCAUCAGGUCCUUUGGACCACGUUCUGGAGGACACGGGCUGAUUCUUAACCAAAAAGGAGAAAAGAUCAAUUUUAACUUACUUCUUUCUAUCGCCUCUGUCAACCUCUCAAAAAUAAUUAACUGUCUUCUAAAUAACCAAGGUCUGCCAUUCAUGGUCAUCUCCAAAUCAUCUUCAUCGUCAAAUGAAAUCUGGAACAGAUUCUGACCUACCGUAUAAAUGUCAAAAUUUCUUUUUGUUUUCCAUAUACUUUUAAUUUGCACACGAAACCCAUCAGGAUUAUAAGUCUUUCGUGUCCACACCGAGCACAAUAGAGAAGAUUUGCCCCUUGGUGUGACCAAUGAACUCUUAACUGUCAAUUGAACUAGUUCGUCUGCAAGAAUAGAAAUCUCCUCACCUGCCAUAACGGCCAAAGGUCACCGCCCCACUCCACCCCAACCACAGCGGCACCUGUUUAUUUGGAGAACUAAGAGAGAGCACCCUUGACCUAAUUUAAAACAGUUUUAAUGAUAAUUUUUUAUUAGAAAUGUGUAAUUUAAAUUAUUUAUUUUAUAUAAAAAUAUAAGUACUUUUUAUUGAAUAUAACUAAAAUUAUUUAUAUUAAAAAAUUUAAAUCCUCGCAAACUAGGAUAAAUAAUCUGGGUUUUUGUUAAUGAACUCAAAUAAUCCAGAUACAUGGAAGUAAUUUGGUUAAAAUAUGUCAUAAGUUCUCUACUCUUUGUAAAUUUGAAACUUAGUCUAUUUAUUUUUGUAUAGAGACCCUUGUAUUAAGAGUCGAUUGCAUAUUUGCCCUCACCUCAAAAAUGGGUAAAUAAGUCCCUAUAUAUUAGAUCAAAAAGCAAAUUAAUUAUUUCUGUUAAAAAUUUCAUUCAUCUCUACUGUUAAAAACUUCAAUUAUCUCUAUUGUCAAAAACUGGUGUGGCUAACAAAAUAAUCAGAUAGUGACACAUCGCAUGCCGCACAUAUCUCAUGCUGAUAUAUAGAGACGAGUUUUUUAACAACAAAAAUGGAUUAUUUUUUUAACAAAAUGAUCAAUUUGCUCUUUGAUCUAAUGUAUAAGGAUUAAUUUGCUCAUUUUUUAUAUAGAUUGGGCAAAAUGUAACCUGGCUCUUAGUGUAAGGGACCUCCAUGGUGUUUUUACUAUCCAUCUACUUUUCAAAUUUUAAAAUAUAAAUUCAACUGUUAAUACUAUUUAAUUUUUUUGUUAAAUUAAGAUUCAUGAUAAUGUUAUUUUUUACUUAUAUGAGUAUUUUUUUCAUUUCAAAAUAUCACAACCAUAAAUUUAGCAAACAAAAAUUUAAUAAUAUUAAUAAUUGAAAUUAAAAUUUAAAAUUUAAAAUUUAAAAAGCUAUGGCAUAUUUUAAGGAUAUAAUUUCAUCGUUGAAAACCAAGCAGGAAUCUGCAGUUCUACCAUAUACAGGUAUUACAGCCAAAACAAGCGACGAAAGCAUAGGAAAACACUAAUGCACUAAGAUUCAGCACCCAACUUUGGCAUCGGAUGAAUCCAUAAGUUUGUUUUGUAACAUUGGACUGACAGUUCAUUAUUGUAUGAGCCUUUUAAUUUACUUGUUUUAGUGGAUCUUCAUUAUCCAGGAAGGUUAACCUAAAUUAUACCGUAGAUGGAAGGUCAAAUUCUUAGAAGGCCCUUGUACUAUGUUUUUCUUGGCAAAUUUAGUUUCUCCAUUAUAAUAUUAUCACUUGUGUCCUUUGCUUUUUCAAGUGUCUUGCAAUCAAAAUUUUCCCUUAAUUCCAUCAAAUUACAAUAUAUAUAUAUAUAUAUUAGCCCUCUAUUUGAUUUUUUACCUCUUUUAACUCUUGAAUUUGCACUGUCUGUCAAAUUAUCUAAAAAUAGAUAGAAAAAUUAAUAUUUGUUAAUUUUGUUGAUGUGACAUGCACAUGAAUUGCCAUGUACGUUAGCAAUUAAAUUUUUUCAAAAUAGUAUAAAAAUUAUAAAAUGUUUUAAAAAAUUAAUUAAUUAUUAAUACGACAUACACGUGGAUGCCACAUUAACAAAGUUAACAAACAUUAACUUUUAUAUCUAUUUUGGAGUGAUUUGACAAAUAGUGUAAAUUUAAGAGUUAAAAGAGAUAAAAAAAAUUAAAUGAAGAACUAAAAUAAUUUUUUUUAUAAAGUUAGAAGGCCAAAUAAGUUAUUAUAGUAAAUUUUUUAAAUAUAUUAUUUGAUGAAAUGAUUAGAAAAUAGUUGACCUCAUAUAAUUGCAGACAAUUGGCAAAGGUAGAAACAAAUAAGGAGAGCAAGUGCAGUUGCUGUCUAUGUCCACUGGGGGAAUCAAGAAGACACUGCAGGACAUGCGAAGACGUUAAGUUUGGUGUGUUUAAAAAUGAGAAGAUUUUGGAAGUUAAGAUCAUAAUUUCCUGCUCAUUUAUAAAAGAAAAUAGCAGAGCCGGCCAUGGGAUUCCAAUAAUCAUUGACAAAUGGCAAAACCGGCUUCUAUUUGGUGACUUUAGCCAUGGAAAAAACCUACUCCACAUUGUACCUUUUAAGGUAAAUUAAUACUACUUUGAAAGCUAAGGAAGUAAUUGAAUGUUAGGAAUUAAAAGCAAUAAUCACUUAGUAUCGAUUUCAUUUUGAAAAUUUCAUUUUCGGAAUGUGAAAAAGUAUUGUAAAAUUAAAAUAUUUCUUUUAGAGAAAUUACAAAUAAAUUAAAUUAGAUAAUAUUUAAUAUAAAUAUACAUAAAAAUAUAUAUUUUAAGGGUGAGUAUUUGGUACCCUAAUAAUAAACUUAAAAAUUUGUUAUGUGUCUCUUUCUUUUAACAUAUAUAACUACGUCAUUUUAUCCCUGACAAUGCACCAAAUAUAUUUUUUUCAUAUUUUAAAUAUAAUAAUAAAUGAUAUUUAAAGAAUUUAAUACAACAAUACAUAAAAUAUAAAUUAAUCUAAAUUUUUAAAUCUAUUUUAAAUAUUUAAUACAAAUAAGGUAUUUUGAUAAUUUAUACUUUAUAGGCAAAAAAUCAAAAAUAUCAAAACUCCGAACUUUUAGGUUUGGAGUGAAAAAAAUAUUUUUUAACGUAUUUUUACCCUUAAACGUCAAGUGGGAUUAUUUUUGGGUUGGGUGAAAAAACAUUGUUUCACCCCCAAAAGCAAUUCCGAAUGUUUUUAGAGCAAUUAAGUGAAGACAGUUAAGGGGCUCAUGUAUUGUCGUUUUAGAAGAAUAUUAGACCAAAAAAUAAAUGGUAAAUUAUAUCUAAGGUUUCUAAAUUAUUAAUAAGUUUACGUUUUGUUCACUUAACUUUAAAAUGUUAUAAAAUAAUCAUUGAAUUAUAGUCAUUCACCUAUUUCAAAGUUUUAUUUAAUUUAUUAGGCUAUUAAGUUUUUUUAACAAAUAAAGUUCAGCUACCAAGCUCUAAGUGAGGAUUUGAAGAUUGGUACGGUGAAUCAAUACCCAUUGACAAGUAGAAUAUGCAUUAGAUAUAAGUCAAUUUGACAAUUAAUGUUAAAGAUCAAAGAAAAAACUAUUUAAAUUUUAAUUCGUAGAUUCGUGAUGUUUAAAGUUGUUUCAUUAAAAAAAAAACCGAACUAUAAAGAGGAGGUGAAGGAGAGCUUUUAAUUGGUCAUACAAUAACUAUUUUAACAAUCGAAUAAGUUCAAUGAAAACUUUCAAAUAGUUUAGUGAUAUUUUAUAAUUUUUAAAAAUGAUAUUGUUUACCUAUAUUCAGAACAAAAUUGAGGUAUUACAAAUGGGUUUUCGUUGAUUUCAAAAUUAGUAUGCUGGCUGAGAAAAUUACCUUUAACGAUGAGUUUGCUUGAUAAUGACUACAGUUUGGUUUACAAAAAUGUCUCUUCUGCACAUUUUUUCCCUUUUUUUUUCCCUAUAACACAGAGACAAUAGAAAAGUGAAGUCUUUGGCAUAGACAAGUCAAAUAAAAAAUUCCAAACGGAAAGGAAACAGAGUAACAGUGCUAUAAAGAAGAGUGAUUUGCACAGCAUACCAGUGCAUUGAACGGUCCUUUAACUCUCAACCACAAAACCUUAAAGGGGGGAAAAGAACCAAUUGAAAUGAGAAUUUGUGGAGGAAAAAGGUCAAUGUUCCAAGUUUCUGUUCCUCCCAUCUCAUUACUUGCCACCAUAAUCUGCC
This 9114-nucleotide long non-coding RNA is filed under the name Gossypium barbadense (sea-island cotton). Its description in RNAcentral is "long non-coding RNA (GBAR_LNC010697)". The stretch from base 5898 to 6043 matches the Rfam family "MIR7502 microRNA precursor family". Lineage: Eukaryota; Viridiplantae; Streptophyta; Magnoliopsida; Malvales; Malvaceae. The record is from RNAcentral.